UGGGGAAUUUUGGACAAUGGGCGAAAGCCUGAUCCAGCAAUGCCGCGUGUGUGAAGAAGGCCUUCGGGUUGUAAAGCACUUUUGUCCGGAAAGAAAUCCUUGGCUCUAAUACAGUCGGGGGAUGACGGUACCGGAAGAAUAAGCACCGGCUAACUACGUGCCAGCAGCCGCGGUAAUACGUAGGGUGCAAGCGUUAAUCGGAAUUACUGGGCGUAAAGCGUGCGCAGGCGGUUUGCUAAGACCGAUGUGAAAUCCCCGGGCUCAACCUGGGAACUGCAUUGGUGACUGGCAGGCUAGAGUAUGGCAGAGGGGGGUAGAAUUCCACGUGUAGCAGUGAAAUGCGUAGAGAUGUGGAGGAAUACCGAUGGCGAAGGCAGCCCCCUGGGCCAAAUACUGACGCUCAUGCACGAAAGCGUGGGGAGCAAACAGGAUUAGAUACCCUGGUAGUCCACGCCCUAAACGAUGUCAACUAGUUGUUGGGGAUUCAUUUCCUUAGUAACGUAGCUAACGCGUGAAGUUGACCGCCUGGGGAGUACGGUCGCAAGAUUAAAACUUAAAGGAAUUGACGGGGUCAUAGCUGUUCCU
Molecule: ribosomal RNA, 585 nt
Filed under: uncultured bacterium
Lineage: Bacteria
Description: partial 16S ribosomal RNA
Rfam family: Bacterial small subunit ribosomal RNA
Source: RNAcentral